GAGUUUGAUCUUGGCUCAGAUUGAACGCUGGCGGCAUGCCUUACACAUGCAAGUCGAACAGUAACAGGUCUUCGGAUGCUGACGAGUGGCGAACGGGUGAGUAAUACAUCGGAACGUGCCCGAUCGUGGGGGAUAACGGAGCGAAAGCUUUGCUGAUACCGCAUACGAUCUACGGAUGAAAGCAGGGGACCGCAAGGCCUUGCGCGGACGGAGCGGCCGAUGGCAGAUUAGGUAGUUGGUGGGAUAAAAGCUUACCAAGCCGACGAUCUGUAGCUGGUCUGAGAGGACGACCAGCCACACUGGGACUGAGACACGGCCCAGACUCCUACGGGAGGCAGCAGUGGGAAUUUUGGACAAUGGGCGAAAGCCUGAUCCAGCCAUGCCGCGUGCAGGAUGAAGGCCUUC
This 405-nucleotide ribosomal RNA is filed under the name uncultured microorganism. Its description in RNAcentral is "bacterial SSU rRNA". It matches the Rfam family "Bacterial small subunit ribosomal RNA", at positions 9 to 419 of the family's 1533-position model. The record is from RNAcentral.